UUCAUCCUUGAUAUGAUUAGUUGUGAUGUGAUGCAUUUCAUGUUAUCAUAUGUUUUAAAUGCUUUACUAUUCUGCUCACUGGGCUCUAGUAGCUCACCCCUCUCCCAAAUUCCCCAGGUUUGCAGGUACAGGGUAGACCAGGAGGUCAGCAAGAGUAUUGAAGUCAGUUGUAUGUAAUAGAUAGAAUGUGGACAUGAUAAAAUGUAAAG
This 209-nucleotide long non-coding RNA is filed under the name Manihot esculenta (cassava). RNAcentral's name for it is "long non-coding RNA (MESC_LNC006293)". The record is from RNAcentral. Lineage: Eukaryota; Viridiplantae; Streptophyta; Magnoliopsida; Malpighiales; Euphorbiaceae.